UUCACUAAAACUCUAGGGCCCCAUUUGAUUCGGGGGGAUAAGCGGGGAUAAUGAAAGUUAUCCCCGCUAUUCCGCCAAACGGGAUGAUUUGUUGCUAGGAUAUUUUAUCUCGGUCAAAUCUUGCUAUUCCUGGUUAUUCCAGAAUAGCAAGGUAUUUGCUAUUCCACCAUUUUGGUGGGUGGAAAGGUGCUAUUCCAAUACUUAAUUUUAAACUUAAUUAAAAUUAUAAAUUAAAUUACAACUAAAUUAUAUAAAUAUAAUAUGUUAUAUAUUAUAAUACAUUAUUUUUAUUAUAAAAUUAUUAAUUGUACUAUAUUAAUACAUAUUAUUUAUAUUUAAAUACUAUAGUAAAUUUUAUAAUAAAUUAUAUUUAAAUAUUAUAAUAAAUUCUUUUUAUUAAAUUUAAGUUUAAGUAGAAUUUUAAAAAAAUUUAUAAAUUUAUUAUAAUAAAUUAUUUUUAUUAAUUGCUCCCACCCUAUAAAUAUUAUAAUAAAUUCUUUUUAUUAAAUUUAAGUUUAAGUAGAAUUUUAAAAAAAAUUAUAAAUUUAUUAUAAUAAAUUAUUUUUAUUAAUUGCUCCCCCCCUAUUCUUAUUUUAAAAAUUUAAGAUUUAAAAAUUUAAAUUUUUGAAAUUUAUAAUUGUAAGCUCAAAAUUAAAGGUUAUAAUUUUAAAUUCUAAAUUUUAAAUUUUAAAUUUAAAUUUAUAUAUUUUAAAUUUUUGAAAAUUAGAACUUAAUAUUUUUCAAAUUUAAAUUUGAUCUUAAAUUUAAAGUUUGAUUUUUAAAAUUUAAAAUUUAGACUUAAAAAUUUGAGAUUUUAAAUUUAAAAUUUUAAUUUCAAAUUUUGAAAUUUCAAAGUUAAAAUUUUAAAUUUAAAAAUAUAAAUUUUAAAUUUUAAAUUUAAAUAUAAUAAGAGGGUAAUAUCAUUAUUUUUAGUAAUAAAAACUCACUAUCCUUCUUAUUCCAUCUUACCUAACCAAACGCUAUUUUUUUUAUUCCCGAAAAUAACCUAAUUUUCAUCCAAACGCAAAAUUGAUCUAAUCCCCACUUAUACCUCAAUUUAUAUCUAUCUCUAGAAUAGCCACUUUUUACUUAUCCCCGAACUAAACGAUACCACUAGAAGUUU
RNAcentral lists this long non-coding RNA (1123 nucleotides) under Ananas comosus (pineapple). Its description in RNAcentral is "long non-coding RNA (ACOM_LNC029937)". Lineage: Eukaryota; Viridiplantae; Streptophyta; Magnoliopsida; Poales; Bromeliaceae. The record is from RNAcentral.